RNAcentral lists this long non-coding RNA (477 nucleotides) under Equus caballus (horse). RNAcentral describes it as "lncRNA (ENSECAG00000037384.2)". Lineage: Eukaryota; Metazoa; Chordata; Mammalia; Perissodactyla; Equidae. The record is from RNAcentral.
GAAGUGCUACUUGAACAGUGCAAAAAGACAUAUUCUGAACUACCAGCAAGACCACCUGGAAGAAACUGGCAAUGGAAUAAAAUUUACUUCGAACCACAGACACUUCAGCUUUCCUGAUAGAAUUAGAUAAAUGGUUAUCAUUUUCAUCUAACCUUGAGACAGACUAUGGAAUGCAAGACUGUGACUCCUGCUGAGUAAGUUUCAAACAUAGAAACAGUGGAGGAUUUCUUCUGAGAUCAUGCCAAAGAGGCGAUUACUCCGGCAUGACACCUGGCCCAGGCACAUUUAUCUACAACGGCUGCCUCCCCAAAAAAGACCUUAACAGAUAUACUCCCAAUAACAGUUAUUGAUAUUGACUUUCAUGGAUGAUAUAAGUGGGAGCAGUACACUGAGACGAUCUUCUUUCAGCUGCCCCCUCAACCCCAUCUCUGCAACUCCGCAGGGUCUUAAGUAUGUCCCCCUGGAGCUGUCCUGUAC